Molecule: ribosomal RNA, 303 nt
Filed under: uncultured bacterium
Lineage: Bacteria
Description: partial 16S ribosomal RNA
Rfam family: Bacterial small subunit ribosomal RNA
Source: RNAcentral
AGCAGUCGCCGCGGGAAUACGAAGGGGGCUAGCGUUGCUCGGAUUUACUGGGCGUAAAGCGCACGUAGGCGGAAAUUUAAGUCAGGGGUGAAAUCCCGAGGCUCAACCUCGGAACUGCCUUUGAUACUGGGUUUCUUGAGUCCGGAAGAGGUGAGUGGAACUGCGAGUGUAGAGGUGAAAUUCGUAGAUAUUCGCAAGAACACCAGUGGCGAAAGCGGCUCACUGGUCCGGAACUGACGCUGAGGUGCGAAAGCGUGGGGAGCAAACAGGAUUAGAUACCCCCGUAGUCCCUGUCUCUUAUAC